GGGGCUGGUUCCUCGGGCCGGCCCGGCGUGUUGGGCCCCGCGGUGUCCAUGGUGACUGCCGCCCCCGGCCAGCGCUGGCUCUCGGGGUGCGGGGCCAGCAGACAUGUACGACCGCGCUCCGCGGGCGCUGACUCGGCCCGCGGGGGGCACCGAGGCUCAUGUGGGGCCCGGCUCCUAUCAGCUGCAGCCCGGGAAACAGCAGAAAGCAGAUGGCUAUGCUCCAUUUCUUUCUUUGACAACUCGAGACUUUGCCUUUACUUUUCCAAACGCUGAGGUUGAUGUUCCAGGACCAGGACACUAUGAUAUUGCCAAAGUACAGAAUAAUAUAAAAGGUGGUGAGAGUCCGCAGAACAAAGAAAAACGUUUCAAAGAGAUCCGUACAGAAACUCCAGGACCGGGAAGCUAUAACCAACCUCCUGCUGUGGAGUUAGAGAUUAAUAACAGGAAGGAGAGAGAGCCUAAAGAACAUCUUCAACAGAGGACUGCUGGCAGUAUAAAAGUCUACCGAAAAGUGGAUGGUCCCUCUAUCCCUUCUCCUGGCCAAGCAUUUGGGUAUGAAGAAGCUGAAGAUGGCACUCUUAUUAAACAAUACCCACCUCAAAGAGAUGUGACAUUGGGUCCAGCAUACUAUCGACCAGUAAUUGGUGCUAUCAGCAGCAUCCUAAUCACUGACAUUGCUUCAGCCUGGAGAAGGCAGCAGGCCCAGCUGAGGACAAUUAUACACUUUCUGUAUGGGGAGUGUGAGAACCUGGGUGACCAUCACUGGGCUAACAAGAAUGGUACUUAUUCUGCCAUGAAGUAUAAAGGAGUACAUUUUGGUAAUUUAACAGGAAAACGUAGUGAAUUUAAGGCUCAAGCAGGGCCUGGACCUGGGGAGUAUGAUAUAACUCAGGAAAGUGCACUGCAUUAUGAGAAUGUCAACAUCAAAAAGGAAGACAAGAAAAAAUAUGAACCCUACGUCCCACGGUAUCAUGAAGUAAUAGUAUUACAGGAAGAAAAGAAGGGUGUUCCAGGACCUGGACAAUAUGAAAUAAAAAGUCAGUUUCAGAAGGUGGAGAAUAUAACACAGAAUGGAAAUGAAGUUCCACGUGCUCCUUUUCUUUCGCAGUCGAAAAGAUUUGUACAUGUGAAAUCAAUCACCCCAGCUCCGGGUACAUAUAAUGAACCACGCUCAGCUCUUGAAUCCUUGAAGAAACCAUCAGGAAUGAAAAAGAUCCCAUUUGGUCAAACUACAGUUCGGUUCACUCAGGACUCCAGGCUCGAAAAAACACCAGGUCCAGCUUUCUAUAAUAUUCUCAAGUGUAGUAUUGAAAAAGAGAAUUUUAAAAAAGCUUACUUGGAGAGUACAAAGAAAGGAGCAUUUGGAUCUUCAGCUCCUCGACCUCUAUAUGUUUUUAAGAGGGGAGCUUUCUGUACUCCUGGACCAGCUGAUUAUCAGGGCAAAAGGAGCACUGAAGAAUCACAUAAACAACAAAAGCAAUUAUCUGUUUUCUUGUCAUCAACAGAAAGAACUCCAGUAGUUACCAUGAUAUUUCUUCAGUUUCCAGAGUGGCUUCAUUUGGAGUCAGAAAAUCUUCCAUCUCUUGCCAGCCCAGCCAGCCUCCAGGCUAACUGCCAGACUUCCCCUACUUUUAAGACCAAACCCAGGAUAGGUGCAGUGAGUAUGGAAGUUCCACCACCAGGCUCCUAUGAGGUUCAAAAAUCAUUUGAGAAAUCACACAGUAAAAGCCACUACAUGCCUCCCCGAACCACACUGGCUAAAAGAAAGCAUACGUCUUUCCUCAGUGCAACACCUAGAAAAAAUGUACCCAAUACUGACAAGGAUGUACCAGAGGUGUUGAAGAUGACUUCAUGAUGGAGAACUUGACAGUUGCUGCUAUUAAGGUGACCUCUCCUUCAGAGUCUAUUCUGCAACCGCCUAUACUAUAAGCCAAGCACAUCAGACUGCUGUAUCUGGAUGGAACCUGCUAUCUUUUUCAAAAGAGCAUCAAGAACCAGUAUAUUGACUCUGUGUCGUAGUUUGCACCAUUUACUGAUGUACUGUGCUCCUGACAAAAACAGCCACUUCUUGCUUCGUGCAGAAUGUGGUCACUUUUCACACCAUGUCAUGCUUUCUAGCACAGUCAGGUAGCCUAGUGUAUCUUCCUCAAACUGCAGCCUCUGUCCUUCAGGAACCAGAGUGGACUACUUUUCCAAAUUUCCAGAAGUUAUUGUGUCUGCCAAACAAGUCAGCACAUAUUAUUGCUAAACUGAGAGCUGUAUUUGCGAGACAUGGAAUUGUUGAAGAAUUAGUGAGUGAAGAUGUUCCAUUUGCAAUCAGAGACAUGGGUAACUUUGUAAGAUCUUGGGGAAUGAAACUCACUCAGUCUGGUCUUGGAUACUCACUGUUUAAUGGAAUGGCUGAAAGAACCUUUCAGACAAUAAAAUCAGUGUUUCACAAAACUGCUGCAUCAAGUAGAGAUCUUAUCUUAGUGCUUUUGGAGUUGGGAAACACAUCACAGACAGGUAUGGAAUACUGUCCGGGACAGUUGGUGGGGAGGAUGUUGAGAACAACUCUUCUAUCCUUACACAUGCUGCUACCAUCCAAAAUACCUUGGAGGGCUCACACCAGAUGAAAAUUGCUACAGGAACGACAGAAGAAAUAUAGUGACCAGACAGCUCAGCCACUAUCUGUGUUCCAUCCUCACUAUCCAGUAUGCAUGGAAAGAACACAAGUUUGACAACCAGCAAGGGUGGUAGCUACAUAUCCAGAGCCACCAUCAUAUUACAUUGAAACACGUACAGGAGAAAGGUACAAACUUAAUAGAAAGCACUUACUACCUGACCAUUCAGUGCCAAUAACAGAUACACAACAGAUAUCUAAACCAGAAGACUCCCAGGAGCAGCAAGUAACACCUUUCCCAGAAAAUCAGCAAUCAGAAUUGACACCAACAUAUUCUGAGACACAGGUUGCAUCAGUACAGUCAAAGUAAAUUCACAAGAAGUGGUUAUCAGGUGCCCAUGCCAGCAUGAUACCAAAAUUUUUCUGACAGCUUUUUACAGAACUGCAUGCAGAAGCCUACUGAGCCAGUGAUAAAGAUUGAGCUUCAUCAGGUUAAGUGUUAACAACCUGGCUGUGGACUGAGUGUUAUUUAUAUUCUCACUUAUAUUUUGGUAUUGCCCAUAGAUGCUGAUGUUGUUCAAACAUAUAUGAGGAAUCAGUCCAUGUCCCAAAGAGCUUGCAAUCUAAAAAGACAAAAGACAAAAAAGUGUGGGAGAAGCAGAUGCAAUAUGUAAACAAGGUAGUCAGGAUAAUGACUGGCAUCCAUUUUAUUAGUACAAAAUGUUUUAGUUAUAAAGAUAUUUUAACCUUUGGUCAUUUUUUAUUGUGUAUAUUUGUAGAGAGGGAGAGAGAGUUAUGACUAUUUCAUUUAUUAAAAAUAUUUAAUUACCCUUGUCCAUUCCAUUUUCUCCAACUGGUUUCAGGAAGAACUCCUUAGUUAGAUAGAGUCUGUUUAGGCAUCAUUAAGAAACAUAGUUUCAGAAAGUUUUGAUGCUGUGUUAGGCUAAUUUGCUUUAAGCAUUUGGUCAAGGUAAAUGCUAUAAACAUUACAAGAUGAUAGACAAUUUAUUCUGAACAGUUGAAACGGAUAUGCAAACUUUUGUUAAUCUAAUAAUUAAAUUAAGAAGUACUCUGUCACAAGAGGAUAUUAUGUAUAUUAAGUUGGUAGGUCCAACUAAAUUUGAUCUCAUCCUAUGCUUCAGAUAUAUCUAAGGUACUUCUGCAUGACAUGUUGCCUAUCCUUCAGAAGAGCAUGUACUAAAUAAUCUACCUAGAAAAUUAAACCAAUAAAAAUGCCAUGAGUAAAAGUUAUAGUGCUCUAUUUAAAUGCGGAAGAUAUCUCAUGAUUCUGUAAUUACUGAACUGCUGAGUGAAUAGAUGUGAUAUCAGUUCUCAAACUUGUAUUUUAGUCCUCCUGUCUCUGGGAAAAGACUUGCAGGUUCCAAAAGGGGUGAUGUUUAGUAAAGCGGAACACAAACUUUUCGAAUAUGCUUCUCUGUUUAUUGUUGCUGUUUCAUUUAUUAUAUGUUACUACAUAAUAAAAGCUCCUGACGUAUUUUGAUAUGUUGCACACACUGUGAAAUUUCUAACUGACUUGCUCAAAUAACAUCCAGCUGUGUAAUAAAUCAGUGGAGUUCACUGUUCUAACAUAUUUCAAAAUUUCAGAGAGAAUGGUGGAAUGUGAAUAAGGACUCUGAAAAACAGAUGUGAACAAUAAUAUUUCAAAGCUGCAACCUUGCCAUAACUUAAAUUUGAGUGUCAUACAUUCUACUGUUAAAAUCAU
Caretta caretta (loggerhead turtle) is the source of this 4325-nucleotide RNA transcript. It is a transcript of the gene named sperm tail PG-rich repeat containing 2, with no coding region annotated. The record is from RefSeq and is a predicted model, not a curated record. NCBI's taxonomy places the organism in Eukaryota, Metazoa, Chordata, Testudines, Cheloniidae.